UAUAAAGUAAGCUAAUUAAAGCUAGUGGGUUCAUACCCCGAAAAUGAAAAUUUAUUUCCUUUAUUA
RNAcentral lists this transfer RNA (66 nucleotides) under Ixodes rubicundus. RNAcentral's name for it is "tRNA-Met". The record is from RNAcentral. Lineage: Eukaryota; Metazoa; Arthropoda; Arachnida; Ixodida; Ixodidae.